AAUAAAUACAACACCAUGGACAAAAUGUUUGCAUGGACAAUCAAUUCUGCUAAUAAUGUUACAUCUUUUCUCUAUACUCUCACAAGAAUCACAUAAACAAGCAGGACGGUUUCAUGAGUGAUGAACUGGAAAGCCGCAGGCUAAAAGUCCAUGAGGAAGAAGCUUGUGUAACAUUUAUGUUCCGCGGUCUGGUUACAAUCACAUUAUCCAUCACAUCAUUUGGCUGCUAGAGGCUAUGUGGUCGAAAUGCUAAAUCCAGUUCAAUUUACUCUGUCAAGCAGCUUCUCCACCAUAAUCUUUUGUUGCACUGAGGUCAAGGACUCAGAGUUCAUUAUUGCAUUCGCAGCAAGGAUGAUUGACGAUUGGUGCUCGGCAUUUACCCACACACGGCCGUUUAAACCAACAGCUAUCUCAAAAGCUAGCUUCUUUCCAAGACCUUCAAGAACUGGACAUGUUGGUGAGCUCAGCAGCAUCCGUGACAAACCAGUUGAUGAUUCAAACAUAUAGCCAUCUUUAAGGGGUCCAAACUCGGCAGCUUUUCCAGAAGCAUCCAUGCACGAUAACUCUGGGUUUAUUCCUGGGUUGGCCUUGACAAUACGAGUAUAAAUUAGAGUACCUACCUCAAAUUUGGGUAUGUUUCUCCUAGUCCCUCCUUCAAAUGCUAGCACUGGCAAGAACGCCACCAUUGGCCCUUUUAUGUCCACAUAAAAGCUAUCUGCUCUUUUGUCCACCACAAUUCCAAGGACAGCAUCCCCCACGGUAGGUAUAUAUCUUUUGUGUGAGCUUUCAAUCCAGUACUUGUUUGGCUUUGAAAAUCUCAAAAUACCUGCUUUGACGACAGUUACAGCAUCAUGAUCCUGUUGGAG
This 866-nucleotide unclassified non-coding RNA is filed under the name Hevea brasiliensis (rubber tree). The record is from RNAcentral. Lineage: Eukaryota; Viridiplantae; Streptophyta; Magnoliopsida; Malpighiales; Euphorbiaceae.